UCUCAGUCCUCCCUAUCUCAUGUAAUCUAUUGCAUGGAUGGAGGUGUCAUCAUCAUUGCCCUCUCACUUGCAACUAGCAAUGGUGAUUGUUCAGCAAGGCUCCUUGGUGAGUGAUCCCCUUCUCCGCCGUCUAAUCCAUUUUCUCCCUUUGUUUCUUUUCUUACCUCUUGGCCUUCCCUCUCUUUGUGGCCUUCCUUCUUUGCCUCCCCUCUCAUUGUGGCUGGCUAAUUGUGGAGUGGGAAGGCAUCCAUAGGUUUCAAGGUAUGUCCAACCAAC
This 276-nucleotide long non-coding RNA is filed under the name Elaeis guineensis (African oil palm). RNAcentral describes it as "long non-coding RNA (EGUI_LNC075745)". Lineage: Eukaryota; Viridiplantae; Streptophyta; Magnoliopsida; Arecales; Arecaceae. The record is from RNAcentral.